GGACUACCAGGGUUUCUAAUCCUGUUCGCUCCCCACGCUUUCGCUCCUCAGCGUCAGUAACGGCCCAGAGACCCGCCUUCGCCACCGGUGUUCCUCCUGAUAUCUGCGCAUUUCACCGCUACACCAGGAAUUCCAGUCUCCCCUGCCGAACUCAAGUCUGCCCGUAUCGACCGCAAGCCCGGAGUUAAGCCCCAGGUUUUCACGGCCGACGCGACAAACCGCCUACGAGCUCUUUACGCCCAAUAAUUCCGGACAACGCUCGCACCCUACGUAUUACCGCGGCGGCUGGCAC
Molecule: ribosomal RNA, 292 nt
Filed under: uncultured bacterium
Lineage: Bacteria
Description: partial 16S ribosomal RNA
Source: RNAcentral